Long non-coding RNA from Raphanus sativus (radish), 659 nucleotides. RefSeq lists it as uncharacterized. The record is from RefSeq and is a predicted model, not a curated record. The transcript is spliced from 5 exons. Lineage: Eukaryota; Viridiplantae; Streptophyta; Magnoliopsida; Brassicales; Brassicaceae.
GGUAACCCGCAUAUGGGGUACAAAAAUAAAUUGGAAAGCCCUAAUGGUUUCAUCCAUUUCUCCGCCGAACCCUAAUCGCGUCUCAUCUCUCGAAGGUCUCUUGAUCUCUCCGGUUCGUCGAUUCUCUCUGAAUCUCAGUUCUCAGUCACUCCAUGUGUCUCUAAGCUCGAACUCUGUCUUUCUCUCUCGCUCAAGAACAACUGAACAAGGUAUGGAUUCCGACAACCAAAAUGGAGCUGACGGGUUGAAGUUGGGAAAACCACAACAUAUCUGAGUGUUGGCAGUGAGGCUUCGAGUUUGCCACAAGAAGCUUCAAAGGAUUCAAAUACAGAAGCUGCGUUCUCCCACGACAUGAUUAGGCACUGAUAUGUGCUUGUAGUUGACUCCGCGGCUAUGAGCCAUAUGACAAUGAAACUGAGGUGGCCGAUGCUACUGAUCAAGAUUAGAGGUUGCCAACGUUUGAGACCUUUGCAUGAACGUCUGAAGCACUUGAGGUCGUGAGAAGAACAAGUGGGAAGAACAAAGAUGAAGAAGACCUGUAUAUAAUUUCUUUAUAUAUUUUUCAGUUUGUCUGUUGUUUGUGUGUCAAAAAACUUGUAUUUGUCGCUAAAAAACUUGAUGCAUUUGUCUGUUAAUUUUUGUGAAUUUUUUUUUUAUUA